CAGUAGACGCUGAAGACUUUAGCUUGCUAGAGUUGGAAGAGUUGCGAACGGGUGAGUAACGCGUAGGUAACCUGCCUAUUAGUGGGGGAUAACUAUUGGAAACGAUAGCUAAUACCGCAUAAUAGUGUUUAACACAUGUUAGAGACUUAAAAGAUGCAAUUGCAUCACUAGUAGAUGGACCUGCGUUGUAUUAGCUAGUUGGUGGGGUAACGGCCUACCAAGGCGACGAUACAUAGCCGACCUGAGAGGGUGAUCGGCCACACUGGGACUGAGACACGGCCCAGACUCCUACGGGAGGCAGCAGUAGGGAAUCUUCGGCAAUGGGGGCAACCCUGACCGAGCAACGCCGCGUGAGUGAAGAAGGUUUUCGGAUCGUAAAGCUCUGUUGUAAGAGAAGAACGUGUGUGAGAGUGGAAAGUUCACACAGUGACGGUAACUUACCAGAAAGGGACGGCUAACUACGUGCCAGCAGCCGCGGUAAUACGUAGGUCCCGAGCGUUGUCCGGAUUUAUUGGGCGUAAAGCGAGCGCAGGCGGUUUAAUAAGUCUGAAGUUAAAGGCAGUGGCUUAACCAUUGUUCGCUUUGGAAACUGUUAAACUUGAGUGCAGAAGGGGAGAGUGGAAUUCCAUGUGUAGCGGUGAAAUGCGUAGAUAUAUGGAGGAACACCGGUGGCGAAAGCGGCUCUCUGGUCUGUAACUGACGCUGAGGCUCGAAAGCGUGGGGAGCAAACAGGAUUAGAUACCCUGGUAGUCCACGCCGUAAACGAUGAGUGCUAGGUGUUAGGCCCUUUCCGGGGCUUAGUGCCGCAGCUAACGCAUUAAGCACUCCGCCUGGGGAGUACGACCG
This 846-nucleotide ribosomal RNA is filed under the name Streptococcus gallolyticus. RNAcentral's name for it is "bacterial SSU rRNA". It matches the Rfam family "Bacterial small subunit ribosomal RNA", at positions 59 to 888 of the family's 1533-position model. The record is from RNAcentral. Lineage: Bacteria; Bacillati; Bacillota; Bacilli; Lactobacillales; Streptococcaceae.